Molecule: ribosomal RNA, 492 nt
Filed under: uncultured bacterium
Lineage: Bacteria
Description: partial 16S ribosomal RNA
Rfam family: Bacterial small subunit ribosomal RNA
Source: RNAcentral
AUUGAACGCUGGCGGCAUGCUUUACACAUGCAAGUCGAGCGGUAACAGGCCUUCGGGUGCUGCCGAGUGGCGAACGGGUGCGUAAUGCAUCGGAACGUACCCAGAGGUGGGGGUUAACGCAGCGAAAGCUGUGCUAAUACCGCAUGUGAUCUGAGGCUGCAAGCGGGGGACCGCGCAGCAAUGUUUGGCCUCGCGCCUUUGGAGCGGCCGAUGUCGGAUUAGCUAGUUGGCGGGGUAAAGGCCUACCAAGGCGACGAUCCGUAGCUGGUCUGAGAGGACGACCAGCCACACUGGGACUGAGACACGGCCCAGACUCCUACGGGAGGCAGCAGUGGGGAAUAUUGGACAAUGGGCGCAAGCCUGAUCCAGCAAUGCCGCGUGCGGGAAGAAGGCCUUCGGGUUGUAAACCGCUUUUGGCAGGAACGAAACGGUGUCCGCUAAUACCGGGCGCUAAUGACGGUACCUGCAGAAUAAGCACCGGCUAACUACGUG